CAGAAGUCAGGUCGGAUUAAGCCAUAGUACGGAAAAAACUAUGCUACCUGUGAGCCCCGUCCAAGGACGUAAAAAGAAGUCAGGCCACUACAAGUGCCAUAGCUUGAGUAAACUAUGCAGCCUGUAGCUCCACCUGAGAAGGUGUAAAAAAUCUGGGAGGCCACAAACCAUGGAAGCUGUACGCAUGGCGUAGUGGACUAGCGGUUAGAGGAGACCCCUCCCUUACAAAUCGCAGCAACAAUGGGGGCCCAAGGUGAGAUGAAGCUGUAGUCUCACUGAAAGGACUAGAGGUUAGAGGAGACCCCCCCGAAAUAAAAAACAGCAUAU
RNAcentral lists this long non-coding RNA (327 nucleotides) under dengue virus type 2. RNAcentral describes it as "Dengue virus 2 partial sfRNA1". The stretch from base 243 to 314 matches the Rfam family "Flavivirus DB element". The record is from RNAcentral. Lineage: Riboviria; Orthornavirae; Kitrinoviricota; Flasuviricetes; Amarillovirales; Flaviviridae.